RNAcentral lists this ribosomal RNA (265 nucleotides) under uncultured bacterium. RNAcentral describes it as "partial 16S ribosomal RNA". It matches the Rfam family "Bacterial small subunit ribosomal RNA", at positions 335 to 617 of the family's 1533-position model. The record is from RNAcentral.
CCCCCUACGGGGCGCAGCAGUGGGGGAUAUUGCACAAUGGGGGGAACCCUGAUGCAGCGACGCCGCGUGGACGAUGGAGUACUUCGGUAUGUAAAGCCCUAUCAGCAGGGAAGAAAAUGACGGUACCUGACUAAGAAGCCCCGGCUAAAUACGUGCCAGCAGCCGCGGUAAUACGUAUGGGGCAAGCGUUAUCCGGAUUUACUGGGUGUAAAGGGAGCGUAGACGGCCAGACACGUCUGAAGUGAAAAUCCAGCGCUUAACGUUG